Molecule: unclassified non-coding RNA, 532 nt
Filed under: Hevea brasiliensis (rubber tree)
Lineage: Eukaryota; Viridiplantae; Streptophyta; Magnoliopsida; Malpighiales; Euphorbiaceae
Source: RNAcentral
GAAAAUCAUAACCUCCAGGCUUUGAGAAUGGCAACCCCACAAUGAAACCUGCCUGAACAUGUGUCUCCAUCAUUAUUUCAGAUUCUUCUCCUGUGAGGAAACCAAGCCUCUGAGACAACUUUAUUAUUGCUUCCCGGUCAUUGUUUGCGCAUGCAAAAACCAUUCUAAGAUAAUCAUCCACAAAACUUUUGGGGUAGUCACGAGCUGCUCCAAAGUCAAUGAGAUUGAUUACUUUUUCAGACUCAUCAUAGAGGAAAUUGCUCCAGUUAGGAUCAGUCUGCAUGAAGCGAAAAACAAACAACUCCAUCAGAGUAAGCUCGAGCAAUUUCCUUCCAACAUAGUUCCGAGUCUCUUGAUCCAGUAACGUCACCUUGUCAAUUGGAAUUCCAGGAACAAGUUCUGAAGUCAGUACUCGUUUACUUGACAAAUCAUCUAUGACCACCGGCACAUAAAAUCCCUUUGUGCCAGAUAAUAGCAUGCCAAAUCUUUUUUGAUUUUUUGCUUCCAGCUCAUAGUCGCAUUCACGAGAAAG